AAGGAAAAGAAAAAUUUAACUGUUGAAAAAGAAGAAAAGACUGAUGAUCUGCCUGGUAAUCUCACAAGUGAAAGCCCCUACCCCCAGCAGAAGGCUGAAUCCCAAAGUACAAGGAGUUGGCCAGAGGAACAUGGAAGGCAAGUUUUAACAGGACAGGAAGCAGAACACACAAAGAUCCAGGGCAAUAAAGAAAAUCAUGUGUUGGAGAAUUUGCAUGCUUUUCUGAAUGGCUGGAGCACCAAUGCAAUGCAAUUUCACCCAGAAGAUAUUUAUAGAGGAUCUUCCACAUGCCAGCACUGUACUUGGCUCUGGGAAACAAAGAAGCAUGCGACAGUCUGGCCAUCCUGUAGAGAAGCUGACCUGCCAGCAUUCCCCGGGCACUAUGUGAGGUACUCUGUUGGAAGCAUGUGCAAACAGCUAGGGUCAAGAGCGACAAAGUCUUCUUAGUACUCAACCUCUGCAAAGUUCAUCUAAAAAAUCCAACACAGGGUUUUCAAACGCAGUGUGCCCUAAGGUUGACAAAUGAAUUCAACAUGCAAGAACCUGAGGGUGGGAGGGGCCCAUUUCAAGAGCCCUGACUAUCUUCCCACCCUAAUCCUGCUGAGUCCUGUGCUCCAGGACUCUUAUAACAUAAUAUUCUCCUUCUGACCCCUUUAUCUUUUCUUUAACCUUAAAAUCUAAUAGAUGGAGUCCUAAGAGUUGGAACAAAAACUAGUGAGUAGUAAUGGCAUUAGGUAUUCACUGCCUCCUUUGCAAUACUCAUAUCAGAUCCCAAGCCUUUUACUGACAUAAUUUACUUUUCUCCCAUUGUGAACCCCACCCUCUACCCAAACGGAAACACUCCCUGUAGUUCUCGGAGGCGUUACCCUUUUACACUUUCCUACCUUUGACAUGCUGCAUCCAUUGCCAUAAUGUUUUCCCUCCCUUUUCUAUGUGUCCAACCAUCAAGUCAGCUCAAAUGUCUCCUCCUAUACCACCUUCAUCUGAAUAAAGGUGCACUUUAUUCUGCACCUAGCUUUCUUUUCUAUUCACCCUACAUUUAUUGAGGCUUAUCCUAUGCUGUGCUUGGUUCUGAGGAUGUAGAAAUAAAUGAAUAUAAUUUGCUCCAAGCCCUCAGGAAACUUGCAGAAACACAUAAAUAUAGAAAUGCAAUACAAAAAGAUAAGAGAUUUAAUAAAGUUCCCAGAAUUCUUUUGUGUCCCAAGACACAAAAGAUACAAUAUCACCUCCUUGGGUGGGUCAGGAAGAGGGACUUAUCACCCCUUCUAAAAUUUAAGGUGUUUGAAGGGUAGGUCAAUGUCUGGUGCGGCAUCUCAAGGUGCACUAACACAAUAAACUGUAAAAUAAAAUAAUCAAUGCAUGCUUGAAUGAAUGACAUAUCAAAUUCACCCUGUGGAUCUCACUUUAUGCACGGGCCACUUUAACAAAUGCUUCCAGAAAACAUGAAGACAUGCUAUUCCAGUCUCACUGAGAAGGGGUAAGACAAGUACAUCACUUAGCUUUUAGUUGUUCCUGAAUUGAAGGUGAAACUAGAAGCCAUUCAAGUGAACAGGUCAUCAUUAACUGUAAAAGCUGCCAAAGAAACUGGAUUCAACUCUUUGGGCAUUCACUGAGCUGCUAGCUCAAAAGUCUCUGAAACCCAAACCAUGAAAACUAAUGAGCAGAGAAUCUAGGAGGUGUUACAGAGCCAGUGUACCGAUAGAACCAGGAUUACCUAACUGUCACAGCACCCAGGAUGUGUUGGAAAAUGAUUUAAAGCUUAAUUCUUAAGGUGGUGGUUUGGUGUCAAAAACUUUGACUGAUGAACUUUAUAAUGUUCCAACCUACACGUCAAGUAAAAAACCUGAAUGCCUCUUCACUCAUGGGCAAAACUUGUCACUGACUAAUAAGUCUCAGAUUUUAUUUUGUUUUAGUGGAAAUAAAAUGGUUAGUAGUAUGACCUUUUCUGGAAGGAUAACACCAGGAUUAUGGAGGAAGAUUUUUCCAAGGAUUAAGACAAUCGGGCUGGGCUGUAGACAGAGCACAGAACACCUACUAAGUGCUGGACACAGUCAUAGGCUUUGGGGAUACAGCCACAGGCAAAAGAGAUAAUCAUCUCUACUAUCUGUUUAAGGUUAUAGAUAAGUAAAUAAGUGAACAAUUUAGUAUAUCUGUUGGUGAUGAUUACUAUAGAGCAAAAUAAAAUAAAAACAGGAUCACAGAUUUUCUUUGUUCAAGGGCAAAGAAAAUUUUCAAUUUUCAAUUGCCUGGUCAGGGAAGGCCCAAGUGAAAAAAAUGCAUAAAUCAGAAUUGGUGAUAUAAGUAAACAAUCGUUUACAGAGCAUAAGCUAUGUACCAAAAUACUAUUAGGCAUUGUCAAGUACUAAAAUCAAAACAAGAUGUUUCGUACACUUAGGAUCCUUAAAGCAUUUAAAAACAAUUUUAAUUGACAUAAAUUACAUAUAUGUGUGAUUUACAACAUCCUUUUUUUUUUUUUUUAUUUUUUGAGAUAGAGUUUCACUCUUUAUGCAAUGGUGUGAUCUUGGCUCACUGCAACUUCUGCCUCCAGGUUCAAGUGAUUCUCCUGCCUCAGCCUCCCGAGUAGCUGGGAUUACAGGCAUGCUCCACCACACCCAGCUGAUUUUGUACUUUUUAGUAGAGAUGAGUUUUCACCAUGUUGGCCAGGCUGGUCUCGAACGCCUGACCUCAGGUGAUCCAUCCGCCUCGGCCUCCCAAAGUGCUGAGAUUAUAGGCAUGAGACACUGCGCCUGGCCAACAUCAUGCUUUCAUGUAUGAAUACACUGUGAAAUUAUUAAAUCCUUAAAGUCUCAUAAGGGAAUAAGAUGCAGAAAAAAAUGGCUAAUACAAGGCAGGUGACAAUAAGUCCUGAUAAAGUGAUUUAAAAUCUUCAGAUCAGACUAGGGACAUCAGGAAGGUCCUCAAGGAGCUUCAGGCAUUUGAAACAGACCUUAAAGAAGGGACAAUGUCUUUGGGAGGCUGAGGCAGGCAGAUCACCUGAAGUCAGGAGUUUAAGGCCAGCCUGGCAAACAUGGUGAAACCCCAUCUCUACUAAACAUACAAAAAUUAGUCGGGCAUGGUGGUGUGUGCCUGUAAUCCUAGCUCCCCAGGAGACUGAGGCAGGAGAAUCGCUGGAACCCAGGAGGUGGAGGCUGCAGUUAGCAAAGAUCACACCACUGCACUCUAGUCUGGGCAAGAGAGAGAGACUGUGUCUCAAAAAAAAAAGAAGGGAUAAUGUUUGCACAAGUCAGAUGGUGGGGAUGGAGAUUUGAAGAGUAGGAUCCUUGAAUAUGAGAACUCUAGUUUAAGCUACUAGGAAAAGGAGUAAUCCAAACAUACAAUCAUUUCUCCCAGGUUCCACUGAAAUCCAGGUCUAAUGUUCUCAUGCAGUGGACCAGUGAGCGAUUAGGGUGGCUGACUAAAUCCAGAGAAGCCUUUGUUUCUCAUUUAUUGAUUCAAUACCUUUGAUUGAGCACUCACCAUCUGGCAGUUACUAUGCUAGGCUCUGAGGAAAAGUCACUUAAGACUCAUGCCUGCCCUUAAGAAUAUCAUAGUUUAGGACCAGGGAGAGAUGAAUGAGUCAGUGAUUGGCAUUCAGUGCCACAGGUGCACAACUGGAGUUAAGCACAGGCCCUGCGGAAAUGCAGAAGAGAGGCAUCCUGAUCAGCAAGGGAGUGUGCGGAAGGCUUUCCAGGUAGCCAGAUCCUUGAACUCAUUUGCAUGUGUGUAAUUAAAUUGUUCUUUUCUUGAUUACAAAAUACAUCUAUACUUGUAGAAACUUGCAAAAUAAAAUAAAUUAUAAAUAUAAAGAUAUAAAAAUCACCUAUAAUCCUAUCAUCUAAAGAGCUUCUAUUAAUUUGAAGAUAUUUCCUUCCAGUGAGCUUUUGCAAUCUCUCUUCCACUCCCCACUUAACAUACAGAGAGUAAUGUACAAAUGGAAAGACAUAUACAUGUGUUUGUGUUUCAUACUCUUGUCAUUUAAUAUUAUAGGUUUUAUCUUAUCAAAAAAUUUUUGACAAUACAAAGCUAAUAGCUAUGUAAUAUUGCACAGUAGUUAUUAAAUCAAUCCCUUACUGCAUAUUUAAUUGCUUCAAAUACAGUAUUUUUUGCUAUUAUAAGUAGUAGCAAUAAACAUAUUUGCAAUAAAUAUAUAUUUCACUAAAACAGAUUCUUAGAGGUGGAAUUAUUAAGUCAAAGAGAACCUAGAUUUUAAGAAGUUGGCUUGAGUUUUGAAGAACAAAUAAAAAUAACAUACUAGGAAAUGGAAGAACAGGGUUGACACAAGAAAUUGUAUGUACGAAGGUCUCUCAUGAAACAGCAUGAUAAGUUUCAGGAAAUUCAAGUCAUUUGGUAAGGCUAGAUCAAAUGGUAUAUGUGUGCUGGGUGAGGGAGUGGCCUAAUAAAGACGAAGCUGGAGAAAUGGGCAGACAAUAAAGCAUGAACAGCCUUGGGAGCUGAAUUAUAGAGAUCUAACUGAUCACAGAGUUAGUUAUGAGGACCUCUGAAAUAUUUUAAGAGGUUCAUGAUCCUGUUUGUGAUUUAGAAAGGUAAUGCUUGCAGCAAUGACAGAUAGCUGCAGCUGGCAGAAAAGAUAUUUUUGAGGGCUACUGCAACGAUCCAGGAGCAAAGAAAAAAUUACCUUAAGCAGGACAGCAGUAAUGCACAAAAAGGAAUACAUAUGUGUUUUCAACAUUUUCAUUCCCAUUAAUUACUUACUGCUGUAUUUCUUAAAUGUCAAUUUCCAGUUUCAAAGUACACCUUUUCAAUUAAUUCCAAAAUCUUCUGAGCAUUUUUUAAAAACUUUUUCCAAACCCCUACAUCCAGGCCUCUCAAAUCAUUUUCUUUCCUAUACCCAAUGUUCAUAGCUGCUAUAAGAACAGGCUUUUGUCAUAUUAAAUCUGUAUGAUAAAAUGGAAAAGCUAGUCAGAGAGUCAAAGUACCUCAGCUCAUGUCUUCGAUCGUUCUUGAGCAAGUCACUAAUGUUCCCUCUUCCUUGGAAGGACACUUUAGCACUAGUUCAACAAUAUAGUCUUUUUUGUUGUUGUUGUAAUCUAUGGAUACCUAUGAUUUUAUACUAGAUUUGUAGGAAAAGAUUAGUUGAAAAACUUUAUUUUUACUAGAAAACACAUUUGCUUGAGAAACUUAAGUCAAUUAAUAAUGAUUCAAUAGAGCAAGGUGACUGAGAUCAUGGCUUAAGGCUGACUGGCUUCAAAUCCUUAUUCCACUACUAACCUAGCAUGAGACUUGGAGCAAUAUUCUGAACCUCAGUUAUCUUAUCCUUUUAGUGGGGAUUUUAAAAAGUACCUCCUUUUUGUGAGGUUGGUCAAUGGGUACAAAUAUACAGUCAGAAGGUGUAAGUUCUAAUGUUCUGUAGUAGAGUAGGGUGACUUGUUAGCAGCAACAUAUUGCAUAUUUCAAAGUAGCCGGAAGAAAGAACUUGAGAUGUUCUCAACACAUAGAAAUGAUAAAGACUCAAGGUGAUGAAUGUCCCAAAUACCCUGACUUGAUCACUACACAUUGUAUGCAUGCAACAAAAUAUCCCAUGCCCCCAUAAAUAUGUAAAAUAUUAUGUAUCGAUGAACAAAGUACCUCUUUUUUUGGUGGGUGUGUGUGUGCACAUGCACUCACACAUGUGUGAAGAUAAUUGAGUUAAUACAUGUGAAGCACUUAGAAAAGUAAAUGAAUGAUACAUAACAUGUGUUCAAUAAAUUAAAUAAUUAUAAUAAUUAUUCAGAAAAGGGAUACAUACAAAGGAUAUUAAGCUGCUUGAAUCUACAAGAUUUGGUGAUUGAUUCCAAAGACAGUAAAGAACCCCUGUAACUUCCCACAUAAGAGGCAGGGGUGGCAUAACAGCUGCAGCAGCAGUCAGUGAAGAGAGAGGCUGAGCCACACACUGGGGUUGAUCACUCCAUGGACAGAAGCAGCUGAGCCCUGAUGGAUAUUUAAAUAAAACUGCAUAUCCUAAGGUCAUUAUAGUAUGCACAGCACACAGGGCUUAUAAAGUCUUAGAUAAAAGGUUUAGUAAUGUAAUUUAAAAUAAUAUUUCUUUUCCUUGGACCCACAUUUACAUUACUCAUGCUGGGAUUUCACCCACUUGGUAUGGCCAUUUCCUAUUUAAGAGUUACUGUUUUCAUUUCCUCAUCUUCUCUUGGCAUUCCUGUCCUUAGAAUCCAACAGCACCCACCACCAGAGGAGGAGAAGCCACUCAUGCUGUAAACUCAGAGUGAACAGCACACACUUGAUCAACAGGCAUGGACCAUAUCCUACUCCAGGUACACUGUCUCCUGAGAUGGGCUGGUCUCCAGAGAAAUAUCCCUCCCUCUAGCUCCAUACCUUUACUAAUCGCUACUAAUGACAGGAAACCUAAGAUGAAUUGCUGCAUGUUCCAAAUUAACUAUGUGCAAAUAGGAUUCAAAACUAAAGAACUAAAGAAUUGACUCACAACUUGUUUUUAUUCUUCUAUUUAUUUUGACAGGUUCUUAUAAUUUUCUUAUAUAGGAAAAUUACGUGUGUGUAUAUAUAUAUGUAGACACAUAAACUUCAUAAAAAUAUAUACUUCAUAAAGAAUACAUAUUUAAAUAGUUGUCUACACAAUGCAACUUCCAUCACUAUAUAUUACAUAGGGAGAUUUCUAGAUUUAACCACCAAAAAAUACAAUCCAAAAAUUGCACUUAGGAAACCCAAAGAGGCCCAGCAAAACUCAAAGGUAUAGAACAUCCAAACACAGGCCUACCUAUAAAAAUAACUACCAUGGCGAAGCAUAAAAAUGAGAAAAUGUUUGCACCAAAGUCAAGAUUCUUUAUGAUUGUCUCAACACCAUUCUAUAGGGAGCAAACCCUAAUGAGAUAUCCCUAACAAAGCCACUCCCUAAUAGUUGAUUAAUUACUCAUAAAAGUUUAUUAAAGGAUUAAUGCAUACCUUAAACAUGUAACUUUAACAUAAAAUACAUAACUAUAAGCUCAUUCACCAAUCGCUUCAGAAAGGUCAAGCCCUCUUACCCAGCCACUCCUCCUCCCCUCAGGAAUUUCUGUGGGUUAGAAUUUUAGUGUUCUAUUUUUUGACACAGGGUCUGACUCUAUAAGCCAGGCUGGAGUGCAGUGGUGCAAUUACAGCUCACCUUGACUUCCCAGGCUCAGCUGAUUCUCCCAUCAGUCAGCCUCCUGAGGAGCUGGGAAUACAGGCUUGUGCCACCAGGCCCAGCUAAUUUUUUUGUUGUUUUUAGUAAAGGUGGGGUUUUGCCAUGUUGCCCAAGUUUACCUUUUUUUUUUAAAAAAAAAAAGAUUGACUUUUUAGAAUCAGGGGUUACAUGUACAGGUUUGUUACAAAUGUAUAUGGUGUGAUUCUGAGUUUGGAGUACAAGUGACCCCGUCACUCAGGUGCUAUGCAUAGUAAGCAACAGGUAGCUUUUCAACCCUUGCCCUCCUCUCUCUCUCUCCACUCUAGUAUUCCCAGUGUCUAUUGUUGCCAUCUUUACGCCCAUGUAUGCCCAAUGCUACCACUUACAAGUGGGAACAUUCCGUAUUUGGUUUUUUACUCCUGUGUUAUCUCACUUAGGACAACGGCCUCCAGCUGCAUCUAUGUUUCUGCAAAGGACAUGAUUUCAUUCUUUUUUAUAACUGUGUAGUUUUCCAAGGUGUGUAUGCACAUUUCCUUUAUUCAAUCCACCGCUGAUGUGCAUCUAGGUUGAUUCCAUGUCUUGCUGUUGUGAAUCGUGCUGCAAUAAACAUCUGAGUGCUUGUUUCUUUUUGAUAGAUCAGUUUAUUUUUCCUUGGGUAUAUAUCCAGUAAUGAUCUGCUCUGUCUUGCAUGAAACAGCAGAUAGAGUUAAUUGUCUGUGAUUUCCAUUUAGGCAUUCUCUAAAAAUAAAGCAAUAACUUAGGAAUACUUAAAAAACAACCUUCUAGAUGUUAUAUCUUGGCAGAAACUUUCUGGAAACUAGUUUUUUCCUGGCAUUUAACUUGGUUUCCCAGAAGCAACCUUUACACAGGCACAUUUCAUUAAUUUACAUAAUAUUUAAUUAAAAUAUAUAAGUACAACUGGUAUCAGCAAGUUUGAAAACAACAAAAAUUGAUUCUUGUAAACACCUAGCAACUGCUAGGUGCAAAAGUAUGUGGGCCCACUAAAAAAUAAGCUACAGCUGCAAGCAAUCAGUGAGUCAC
Molecule: long non-coding RNA, 8155 nt
Filed under: Homo sapiens (human)
Lineage: Eukaryota; Metazoa; Chordata; Mammalia; Primates; Hominidae
Description: HSALNT0179711
Source: RNAcentral